CCUACGGGAGGCAGCAGUGAGGAAUAUUGGUCAAUGGCCGUAAGGCUGAACCAGCCAAGUCGCGUGAAGGAAGAAGGAUCUAUGGUUUGUAAACUUCUUUUAUAGGGGAAUAAAGGUAUCCACGUGUGGAUAUUUGCAUGUACCCUAUGAAUAAGCAUCGGCUAACUCCGUGCCAGCAGCCGCGGUAAUACGGAGGAUGCGAGCGUUAUCCGGAUUUAUUGGGUUUAAAGGGUGCGUAGGUUGUUUUUUAAGUCAGCGGUGAAAGUUUGUGGCUCAACCAUAAAAUUGCCGUUGAAACUGGAAGACUUGAGUGUGUUUGAGGUAGGCGGAAUUCGUGGUGUAGCGGUGAAAUGCUUAGAUAUCACGAAGAACCCCGAUUGCGAAGGCAGCUUACUAAACUGUGACUGACAUUGAUGCUCGAAAGUGUGGGUAUCAAACAGGAUUAGAUACCCGGGUAGUC
This 460-nucleotide ribosomal RNA is filed under the name uncultured bacterium. RNAcentral describes it as "partial 16S ribosomal RNA". It matches the Rfam family "Bacterial small subunit ribosomal RNA", at positions 338 to 795 of the family's 1533-position model. The record is from RNAcentral.